RNAcentral lists this ribosomal RNA (138 nucleotides) under uncultured bacterium. RNAcentral's name for it is "partial 16S ribosomal RNA". It matches the Rfam family "Bacterial small subunit ribosomal RNA", at positions 355 to 509 of the family's 1533-position model. The record is from RNAcentral.
UGGGGAAUAUUGCACAAUGGGCGCAAGCCUGAUGCAGCGACGCCGCGUGAGUGAGGAAGUAUUUCGGUAUGUAAAGCUCUAUCAGCAGGGAAGAAGAAUGACGGUACCUGACUAAGAAGCACCGGCUAAAUACGUGCC